RNAcentral lists this long non-coding RNA (942 nucleotides) under Scleropages formosus (Asian bonytongue). RNAcentral's name for it is "lncRNA (ENSSFOG00015028579.1)". Lineage: Eukaryota; Metazoa; Chordata; Actinopteri; Osteoglossiformes; Osteoglossidae. The record is from RNAcentral.
UAAUUUUCUGCGCCAAAGGGUUGGGAAAUUUUCCAUUUUCAUGCUGCCUUAAAUGAAUUAUGAUUCUUUUAGGAAAAAAGGUAUCUUUGUGUUUGUCUAGAGAUUACAAUAAUUUAAACUGUCAAAGAAGUUAAUGGCAACUUCCUUACUUUUUAUGGCUAAGCAAACAAAAUUCUUCCAAGUAAUACAAAUGCAAACACAGAACAGGGUUAGUAGAAAGGACCGGGCAUGCUGUGCUUUGACUUUGUGAUGGUAAAGGUCCAAUUUACCUGAAAGAUAACUGCUCUGUAAUAUGAGUAGAGAGCGAUGAGAUGAACACUGAUUUGUAGCAGCGUUUUGUGCGGGAAAUUGCCUUUAAGCACCAAACCCCUUUGCUUUCUUUCCCUCUUCUAGGUUCUGCAAGCCCAGAAUAGCCCCCUCAGCCGUGCAUUUGGAAACUGGGAACCAUGCGAGACAUCAUGGUUGCAGAGAACGGAGGGUUCCCAUGCAUGCCCGAGAAACCUGCCAUCCAUCCAUCCAUCCAUCCAUCCAUCCAUCCAUGAUCUAUCACCGCUUCAGUGUUGCGGCGAGCCGGCGCCUACCCCGGCGGUGGGGCUGGAGGAUGAUGGGAGACACACCAGACGGGAUGCCAGUCUGCCGCAAGGCACUCCAAGCAGGACUUGAACCCCAGGCCGACCACACAGCGGGCCCCGGCCAAACCCGCUGUGCCCCCAUCCAUAUAUCAGGUGACAAUCAAAUUACAAUCAAUAAUUUCUCAAUUUAAGAGAUAUAUAAGAGUCAGUGUACAAGUUACUGUGAUUUUUAUACAUGCGACCCUAGAACCAGUGCUCAAAAAUGUUGGUGUGUCUUGGCCAGCAACUGAAAAUUGCUAAAUGCUAGAAAGUGUUGCUCAUGCUGUUUUAAGUAAAUGCAAUACAAUUCAGGCUUCAUGCUGGUGCAGCG